Molecule: ribosomal RNA, 500 nt
Filed under: uncultured Pseudomonas sp.
Lineage: Bacteria; Pseudomonadati; Pseudomonadota; Gammaproteobacteria; Pseudomonadales; Pseudomonadaceae
Description: bacterial SSU rRNA
Rfam family: Bacterial small subunit ribosomal RNA
Source: RNAcentral
AGAGUUUGAUCCUGGCUCAGAUUGAACGCUGGCGGCAGGCCUAACACAUGCAAGUCGAGCGGAUGACGGGAGCUUGCUCCUUGAUUCAGCGGCGGACGGGUGAGUAAUGCCUAGGAAUCUGCCUGGUAGUGGGGGACAACGUUUCGAAAGGAACGCUAAUACCGCAUACGUCCUACGGGAGAAAGCAGGGGACCUUCGGGCCUUGCGCUAUCAGAUGAGCCUAGGUCGGAUUAGCUAGUUGGUGGGGUAAUGGCUCACCAAGGCGACGAUCCGUAACUGGUCUGAGAGGAUGAUCAGUCACACUGGAACUGAGACACGGUCCAGACUCCUACGGGAGGCAGCAGUGGGGAAUAUUGGACAAUGGGCGAAAGCCUGAUCCAGCCAUGCCGCGUGUGUGAAGAAGGUCUUCGGAUUGUAAUGCACUUUAAGUUGGGAGGAAGGGUAGUAACUUAAUACGUUGCUACUUUGACGUUACUCGCACAGUUUUAGGUCAAGACCCC